CUGCAUGAGACCGUCCAUGAGAUGCACCGGAAAAACAUGAGUGGAGUAGUAUUCAAAAUAGACUUUGAAAAAGCCUAUGACAAGGUCAAAUGGUCUUUCCUCCAACAGGCCCUAAGGAUGAAAGGCUUCUCCGAUAAAUGGUGCAAGUGGAUCCACAAUUUUGUAACUAGAGGUAGUGUGGCCAUCAAAGUCAAUGAUGAUGUCGGCCAUUACUUUCAGAUAAGAAAAGGACUACGACAGGGUGAUGCCAUAUCCCCAAUGUUAUUUAACAUUGUGGCUGACAUGUUGGCUAUUCUGAUUGAGCGCGCCAAGCAGGACGGGCAAAUUACAGGAGUAGUGCCACAUCUAGUGGAUGGUGGUCUCUCUAUUCUGCAAUAUGCCGAUGACACAAUUCUCUUUAUGGAACAUGACCUAGACAAGGCUAGAAACCUGAAACUUCUGCUGUCAGCGUUUGAGCAAAUGUCGGGUCUUAAGAUUAACUUCCAUAAAAGUGAAUUGUUC
This 501-nucleotide ribosomal RNA is filed under the name Triticum aestivum (bread wheat). RNAcentral's name for it is "partial small subunit ribosomal RNA". The record is from RNAcentral. Lineage: Eukaryota; Viridiplantae; Streptophyta; Magnoliopsida; Poales; Poaceae.